Non-coding RNA from Podarcis lilfordi (Lilford's wall lizard), 79 nucleotides. The record is from the annotation of a GenBank genome assembly. Lineage: Eukaryota; Metazoa; Chordata; Lepidosauria; Squamata; Lacertidae.
UCUUGUAUAACUCAGUUGGCAAAGCAUGAGACUCUUAAUCUCAGGGUUGUGGGUUUGAGCCCCAGGUUGGGUAAAAGAU